Molecule: long non-coding RNA, 373 nt
Organism: Homo sapiens (human)
Lineage: Eukaryota; Metazoa; Chordata; Mammalia; Primates; Hominidae
Exons: 4
Source: RefSeq, a predicted model, not a curated record
GAUUGUAAAUCCCUUGAGAACUGAGUUUGACCUCUGCAACUUAUGAAUACACUUAUCAUACGCUGCAGGAUUCUAAGAUGACCUCCAGGAUCCCUACUUGCUGUACAAUCCUCAGGACUGUGAAGAUGAUGGAUUUUACUGCUGUGAUUAAGUUAUAUGGCGCAUUCGACUUGAAGAAAGGGAGAUUAUUCUGGGAAUAUGUAGCAGUACAAAGUGCUAACGUCGUGUGGAUUUGAACCCCCAUCCUCGAGAGCAAAAGAAGGCUGGGGAUUGCCAAAUGUCAACUGAGCUGUGUCAGCCAUGGGACCCCAAGUCUCCAGCCAUGUCCAGUUCUCUGCAGACACUGAAUGCAUGUGCCAAGGCAAGCUGUCCA